CUGGUUGAAAGUUUGUAUUGCAUAUGUUCUUAAUCUCCUUUGAUUAUCUAUCCUCGUUGCUGGUCAGAAAAAAACAAACAAAGAGCUGCCGCUAAGGUGCACUUAAAAGGACAUGGCAUCAGAUUCUGCACCUCCUACAAAAACUUUUCAACUGGUUUGGCUACGACUGGAUGUGGAAGAAGAAGAAUAUUACAGAUCACAGUUUGCUAAGUGUCAAGAAAGUUUUAUUACGUAAGUCAUGCUCAAGAAGGUUGGGUGGCAUGUUGUUUGGCCUUUUGUCUUGUGGUAUCUUAGAUUUGCAGGCCGAAUUUAAUUUCAUGCUUGGUGCUUCUUUUUGUUUCCAUGUUUCAUUUAUUUGGGAACUAUUUUAUUAUUUUUUGGCUGCUUUUUGUGAUCUACUCUCUGACGUGCACAUAUACUGGAUCAAGAGAGGUCGACAAGCGGUUUCCUGCUUUAGUGUCCAUGCUCCGGCAAAUACGGCAGGUUAAGGAUUGUUUUACUUCAAGUACUUGGGGAUGGCUCUGUAAAUAAAGUAGAUCACAAGUUCGACUCUUGAGCAAGCAUUUUCCCGCAGUCUAUAUCAAUCUAUGCAUUUCAAAACACCAAUGCUGUGGAAUUUCUUUGCCUUUGCCAAUGUAAUUGCAGCAGGGAUGUAAUAUCUACCCUGCUUUGAGACUGGUUUGGGUUCAGAUGCCUGUUCCAGUUCCAAUCCCUUGCCCAUUUCUUUGCUCUGCAACCUGUUCCGUAAUGGCUGGGUGGCAUGAGGUGCGGUUGGUAACACUGUUCUACAGGCUGCCUGCCAUCUUUCACAGUGGCAUAUUGCACAAAUACCAUGGUAACUAUCUAUUUAAGAGAAUGAAGUGAGGAAAGGCUUAUAUAAUUUGAAUGUGGCGUUUUAUCAUUUUAGAGAACAAAGUUGCCGUAAUUGGACGUGGGUGAAUAUUGAAUCCUUUUGUUAGCCAUUUACUCUUUGCUUAGGAUUGAUGAAGACUUUUUCCCUUGCA
Rhododendron vialii is the source of this 1004-nucleotide long non-coding RNA. RefSeq lists it as uncharacterized. The transcript has 2 exons. The record is from RefSeq and is a predicted model, not a curated record. Lineage: Eukaryota; Viridiplantae; Streptophyta; Magnoliopsida; Ericales; Ericaceae.